GCUCUAUAGUGAUUUCUGUGUCUAGUUCUCCAAGAAAGUAACUAGUGCAUAUACUAAAACUGGAAUGAUACAGAGAAGAUUACCAUGGCCCCUGCGCAAGGAUGACAUGCAAAUUCCUGAACCUAGGAAAGGAAGA
Gopherus agassizii (Agassiz's desert tortoise) is the source of this 136-nucleotide small nuclear RNA. Lineage: Eukaryota; Metazoa; Chordata; Testudines; Testudinidae. The record is from Ensembl.